ACACCAGAUAUAACCUGGUGAUCUUUCUUGUUCCAAAGUUUAUUUUGGUUGCUUGUUUAUAUAUUUUCUUGCACCUGUAUCAGCUUUAUGUGGUAUCAAGAUUAAUUACUAUAUUGCUGCUAUGUUUCUCUUUAUCAUCUUAUUGCAGCUUGGCUUCUGGCAAUUGCUAUGAUGUAUGAUGGUGUAUCUUUGUUAAUCCUUUUUCCGGUAUUGAAUACACUUGGAGCAUGAAUUACCUUCUGAACCUUCUAUCACUUGAGUUUCUUUAUAACAUUUCAUUGCUGGUAGCAUUUGGUGCAGAAAAACUAACAAUUCUGUUUGGUCUACAGGCUAUGGUUAAAAAGGGCCCAUCUUCCCCUCCUUUGUUUGUUCCUGCGUCCCCUCCUCCCUUACUCUGGUGACUAUUGGUUGAUACAAUAUCAGCUCUACCGAUGUCCUUGAUAUUCUUUCAGCUCAUUGAUGAACUGUGGAGAUUCUUGCUUCGACAGCUGUGGUCACAUGCUUCAAUCUCGGUUCGUUAGGAAGUGAAGGGCCACAUUUUGGUAUGUUUGUGCAUUUCAUAUUAGCUGGUAGUUGCCUCGUGCUAAUGAGUUUGGAUAUCUUAAUACUUUGAUCAUAAUAGGAAGAGGCUACAUGCAUGGUUAAAUCUGAAAUAGAUGCAUGAUGGAUGCAGUCUAUGCUACUUUGGCAAUUGAUCCUCAUCUUGAGACUAUGUAGAAAGAGGUGAAGCAGCUCAUUGGUAUUGAUAAUUCAAGGGGUGGGGUCAUAUCAAUGGUCUCAUUGCCCUAGUGGGACGAGGUGCCCUACGAGAUGAUGAAGAUUGUAUCAGUUGUUGGAGGGGGAUUGUGCAAGACUACUCUUGCCAAGUAGUGUAUGAUGAGCUUAAACCUCAACUCGAUUGUGGGGCCUCUGUUUUGGUUGGCCGAAAUCCUGGUUUGAA
Molecule: long non-coding RNA, 940 nt
Organism: Panicum virgatum (switchgrass)
Lineage: Eukaryota; Viridiplantae; Streptophyta; Magnoliopsida; Poales; Poaceae
Exons: 3
Source: RefSeq, a predicted model, not a curated record